UACGUAGGUGGCAAGCGUUGUCCGGAUUUACUGGGCGUAAAGAGCGCGCAGGCGGUCGUUCAAGUCGCGUGUGAAAGCCCCCGGCUCAACUGGGGAGGGUCACGCGAUACUGAUCGACUCGAAGGCAGGAGAGGGUAGUGGAAUUCCCGGUGUAGUGGUGAAAUGCGCAGAUAUCAGGAGGAACACCAAUGGCGAAGGCAGCACUCUGGGACGUGACUGACGCUGAGACGCGAAAGCGUGGGGAGCAAACAGG
RNAcentral lists this ribosomal RNA (253 nucleotides) under uncultured bacterium. Its description in RNAcentral is "partial 16S ribosomal RNA". It matches the Rfam family "Bacterial small subunit ribosomal RNA", at positions 524 to 776 of the family's 1533-position model. The record is from RNAcentral.